GAAAUCUCUAAUUUGGAGAAGGUAAAGUAAAUUGAGGCUUUUUAAAAUAAAAUUUUCCUAGUUUUUAAAUCUUCAUAAUAUCUUUUAGUGUUUGAAAGAAAAGAAAACUUUUUUAAAAUAUUUGGUAGUUUUAAAGAGGAAAUUUUCUUAACUUACAAAUUUGGUAGGUUAGAGAAUGAAUCCUAUUUUAUAAAAGCACAUACUCUCCUAUGAACUUGUUUUUUAACCUUUAAAAACCUUCCAUUAUUUUAUAAAGAUUUUCUCCCAAACAAAAUGAAUAUUCUAGACGUUUCCCUCCCUAAUCCUUGCCUUCUGCUUAAUUGCGCUCAUUAAAUUUCCCCGUAAAUCAAUUACCCAUCCUUAAAAUUAAUUGAAGCUAUGUUUAGUAUGAUGU
This 394-nucleotide unclassified non-coding RNA is filed under the name Hevea brasiliensis (rubber tree). The record is from RNAcentral. Lineage: Eukaryota; Viridiplantae; Streptophyta; Magnoliopsida; Malpighiales; Euphorbiaceae.